AUUGAACGCUGGCGGCAGGCCUAACACAUGCAAGUCGAACGGUAACAGGAAGAAGCUUGCUUCUUUGCUGACGAGUGGCGGACGGGUGAGUAAUGUCUGGGAAACUGCCUGAUGGAGGGGGAUAACUACUGGAAACGGUAGCUAAUACCGCAUAACGUCGCAAGACCAAAAAGGGGGACCUUCGGGCCUCUUGCCAUCGGAUGUGCCCAGAUGGGAUUAGCUAGUAGGUGGGGUAACGGCUCACCUAGGCGACGAUCCCUAGCUGGUCUGAGAGGAUGACCAGCCACACUGGAACUGAGACACGGUCCAGACUCCUACGGGAGGCAGCAGUGGGGAAUAUUGCACAAUGGGCGCAAGCCUGAUGCAGCCAUGCCGCGUGUAUGAAGAAGGCCUUCGGGUUGUAAAGUACUUUCAGCGGGGAGGAGGGGAGUAAAGUUAAUACCUUUGCUCAUUGACGUUACCCGCAGAAGAAGCACCGGCUAACUCCGUG
Molecule: ribosomal RNA, 490 nt
Filed under: uncultured bacterium
Lineage: Bacteria
Description: partial 16S ribosomal RNA
Rfam family: Bacterial small subunit ribosomal RNA
Source: RNAcentral